Macaca mulatta (Rhesus monkey) is the source of this 1043-nucleotide non-coding RNA. The record is from RefSeq and is a predicted model, not a curated record. Lineage: Eukaryota; Metazoa; Chordata; Mammalia; Primates; Cercopithecidae.
AUAAUUAAUGGCUCCAUCUGAGUAGUGAUUGUGCACUAGAUUUCUGCUUUCUUGAUUGCACAAAGCUUGAGCAAGUUUGGAUUUUAGAGUACCACAAGGAAUGAACAUCUGAUAUGGUCAUCACUGUUUCCUGCAGGAAGAUAACCAGAAUUGUAUGAGCCUCUGGUCUACAAAGCCUUCAUCUUCUCUGAUUUGUAAAGAAUGACCAGUUAUCAACGCCUUUAUCUGUUCUACCACUAAUCUGCCUAUUUGGAUCUCUUGCCACUGCAAACUCUAGAACUCCUGUACCUUAGAAACCUCUGCCCUACUGAUAGCAGCUUGCCUGUACGUUUCUGUUUUAAACUGCCUUCUCACUGAAGCCAACCAAAUGCCAGAGGACAAAAGAGGUUGACUGAAUUGGCCCACAGAGCUCAGCUUCCUGGGGACUGGAGGAUGGAAAACGUUGAAAGCAAAUUAGCCAUACGAUCCCUAUUAGCUAGAGAGAAGGACAUGUUUGCUUCACUUUCCACCGUGAGUGUAAGUUCCCAGAGGACCUCCCAGCAAUGCCAAACUGAGUGGAAAAUAUCAUGCAAUCUGACUGAAAUUCAGAUUAUCUUCAAACAGUUACGCUGAGACUACAAGGUAUACUGGGAAGAGAGAGCUCACUGUCUGAUCACUUACUCACCAGAAAUUUAACAUGUUGGAGAACAUCUUGUAUUAUUUGGAAUCUAUCCAUCAUUAAACAUAAAUGAGGAGACUGUGGUACACAAAUGUGGUAAUACCAAAUGGAUACAUGUAUUAAAGACACUGUAACCAUCUGGACUCAAUAUGGGACCCAGAAUGUUCCCAUUUAUCAAAUUAUAAUUCCCAUACGAUAUUUUAUAUCUGUAAUUCAAUGUUGAUGAAAACAUAAUUGUUUUCCAUUUGUCAGAGUGAUUUUCAGCAGUAAUGAAUUAAGUUAACACAUUUAUCAGAGAAGGAAAAGAUUGGUGUCCAAAAGAGAAUUUUACUAAAUUCUCUGGUUUUAAAGAAAGAGGAAGAACAGAGACAAAUAACAGUCACCA